Molecule: long non-coding RNA, 6346 nt
Organism: Columba livia (rock pigeon)
Lineage: Eukaryota; Metazoa; Chordata; Aves; Columbiformes; Columbidae
Exons: 2
Source: RefSeq, a predicted model, not a curated record
UUGUUUGUUUUGUUGUGUGGGUUUGGUUUUCUUUGUUUGGUUGGUUUUUUUUUUAAUAAUGAAUCUCCUUCAUCUGACCCCAUGCACCAGCCCUGGCAGUUUGCAAUUUUCCCCAGCUUUGCACAUAGCAUGACAGUCCCAACCUCGGCUUUCCGGGCACUGCCAGUGUUCGUAGCAGCUUCGGCCGCUUGCCACAGUGUGGAAAAUGGGUGUGGUGGUCACUCCAACGGGUUUUUGGCAGCACCUCUUGCCUUCUCUUGGCUCAAAGAGUGCCCAGAGUGUAGCACUGUCUGGACAGGGAUUUCAUUACCCGCCAUGCAGCCUGCCAGUGCAACCUUGUCAUUGCAAUUUGUCACACGUAUUUGGUAUAUGUUUAGUAUCUGGCUGAGGGCUCGUUUGCCAAGCGAUUCAUCUAUUCACUACUUCUCUGCUACAGAGGGUGGUUUGGUCUGUCCCGUGGGGCUGUGCCGAGCUCGCCGAGGGAGCGCUGGCCCUCCAAAGCAGAGAGGUGUGAACCAGCAGCAUGAGCUUCCCUACCACCCACCUCCUUUUUCCACUAGAGGGGCGGUAUUUUUGCAGAAAAUAACUGUUUUUGUCAAAACAGUAAUUUCAAAAGUUCUUUUUGUUGUUCGGGGAUGGAAACCUUCUGCAGAGGCACCAGCUCCCCACUCCUCCCCUCCUUGUCUUCACAGUUAUUUGCUCUAUUUAUUUACUGCAAAAUUUGCUCUAUUGCCUGACAUUUUUCGGUUAUCAAAAUAUUUUGAUUAUGUGCAGGGGAGGGGGUGGGUUGAUAGUGCAGCUGACAUCUCGAUAGAAAAUUGCCUGUAAAAUAUUCUAACUAAAUUCAAGACUGGGAAGAGUGAGAUACUCCAGCCUGUCUCAGGCAAACCCUUCGCAUCGCUCCUGCGACCAGGGCUUGUGCAGAGCCCUGGGUUGGCUUGGAUGCAUUUCCCUGGAUAUUUCCAGCCCUUUUGGGUUUGAAAGCUUGGCUGGAGCGUGAGCUCUCCCCAUGGUUGCAUCAAAUACAGCAAGCACAGAAAGGAGGGCAGAGCAGAAGGUGCUGCUGUGUGAGACACGACCCGAAACUGCUGUGGAGGUUUUGAUGCAGCAUGAGAGGAGGCGGAGGGAGAAUACAAAAAGCAGAUCUCGGAGGGGCAGGAGGAGAGUUGCACAUCAAGGUCACUCCAAAAAGAGCUGGAGCACAUUCUGCUUUGUUUCCUCUUGCUGUGAGAACUGGAAACACGGCUGUCUAUAGGGUAAGCACCAGCGUGUUGGCUGUGGAGAUGUCUUCUGGCUUCGUCCUUAAGCAAGUGCCACUGGCAGAAGAUGGGCUGAUCUGUUCAAAGAGGAAAUGUUGGAUGUGUGGGAGGCCAAAAGCUGCAUGCAGCACGGAGAAUGACUGCACUACCCAUGGCUUGCAAAUGCACUUAAAAUCGUGCCAUUUGGGACAGAGGACCAGACACUUACUUGCCACAUCGGGCUCAAUUCCAGUGAAAUCUAAUAAAAGCUUUAUGCUUUCCACCAAAACUGCAAACUGUAGCAUUGUUCAUAGAGAAAGAAGUGAUAUAAGGAAACAAUUGCUUAGCAUCAUCACCGGACGUCUGUCUCUGAAAGCUGCAGUCAUUCCUGGAGCUCGUGACGCCUCCAUGUCUCUGUGCCUGUCACCAGCCGUGGAUGUCUCUGUACCUGUCACCAGCCGUGGCUUGUGCGUGAAGCUGCAGGUGAGCAGGGCUCUGCGUGCAGGGGAAAGGUACAACUCAGGCCGGGGACGUGAAGAUGAACUCCUGCGAAGGGCAGCCAGUGGGGCUUUGCGACCCCCAGGCACCAGGACAGCCGCUGUGCAAAUCCCCUGUGGGGACGGCUGUAGGUGGAAAUGCACUGGGAAAGGCGAGAGAGGAGAAAACGUGGGAGAGAAGGAAGCAGCAGCAAAACCAGUCUAACCCCAAAGGCAGAACACCAAAAUGAGACCACCCAGAAUAUGUUUAAUUAGUACUUUUCCUAAAUUAGUGCUUGUGUCUGCUCUCAGUGCUCAUCCGUGCUUUCAUGAAAUGUCAAGUGAAACGGGCGCAAUAAGACGUUGCUCUCAGGGGAAUGGCAGGCAGGCGUGCAGGCAGCGAGGAGAAGGUGCAGGCAGGAACCCGGGGCUGCCCUUAGGACGGGGUGCGGGAUCGGGCCCCAUGCCAGCCCCAGAGCCGGUCCUGCUGGGAAUGGGUCUGUUUGCAGAUGGUACCUUUGGGGGACACACCACCGCGUGUGACGGGACAGAGCAGAGCUGCCUGCAGAAACACACACGUGUGUCCAAGCUGCUGCGGACCGCAGAUCCCCAUCCGCCAUGUGGGCUGCACAAUUUAAAAAGCGCAGACAGUGUCUGAGUUCGCCCACUAUUAUAUAUUUUAGUGGAUGCUGAGAAAUGUGAGAAACAAUUAGUGGUUUUUGAGGGAGGGGCAGGGAGAUCUCUGCUUGGGGAAGGAAGACUAAGUGCUCCAAAAGCAAGGCAAUGCUCCCAUUGCUGGCAGAAUGGCUGUCGCGGUCGUUUGCAGAAAGGAGGUCUCCGAGCCCAAAGCCUGGUCUUUUGGCCAUGUGGGUGCUGGGCAAGGCACAAAGGUGGGUGUCUCAUGGGUUGCAGCCUACAAGGGCGGUGGGAGAGCCAUGGCAGCACGGCAGGCAUCAGCUUCCAGGGAGGCGGCUACUGACACACCUUCCCCGCCUGCACGGUUGGGAGUGGUGCAGCUUGGCACCCUGCCCUGGCUGGACCCUGCCUGUGGGGGAUGCACAGAGCAGCCCAAAAUGUGCUGCUUUGUCAUGGAGGUGGGUGCUCGUCACCCCCUCUGGCAGCGCAAAUGCCGGGCCCCGGGUAGGGGCAGAUGCACUGGGGUUGCUCCUACUGCGAGUGCAGCUCCCAUCUCGCCCACACUGAAUUUCACCUUCCCUCACACCACCCAACCUGUGACCACCUCGCAUGGCCAGCUUGGCUAUUUGCUUCCCGGACAGCUUCAUAUCCUCUGCAAAUUGUGUGUCCCCAGGGCAGCCAGCUCCCCACGCCAGGCUGGCUCAGCGCUGCUCAGCCCCUCCCAGCCGGCCUGUUCCCUGGGCAGACACGUGCACAGAAUCACAGAAUUGCAGAAUCAUUUUCCUUGGAAGAGACCCUUAAGAUCGUUGGGUCCAACCAUAACCUAACUCUAGCACUAAACCGUGUCUCUGAGAACCUCAUCUACGUGUCUUUUAAACCCCUCCAGGGAUGGUGACUCCACCACUGCCCUGGCCAGCCUGUUCCAAUGCCCGACAAUCCUUUUUGUGAAGAAUUUUUUCCUAAUAUCCAAUCUGAACCUCCCCUGGUGCAACUUGAGGCCAUUUCCUCUCAUCGCUUUUCACAUGGGAGAAGAGACCAACACCCUCCGUUCUACAACCUCCUUUCAGGUAGUUGUAAGAGCGGUGAGGCAUGGCACGGCCCUGAGCACCCCGGCUUUAUGGGAGCAUGCCGAGGAGACAGGAGACAUGGAAACCCACAGCGUGAAGCCGAGGAGGGGAGCAAGGCAACCUCAUUUUGUUUUCCAGUCUGGUACGUGAUUUAGGAGAGGUGGCGAUGAGACGGUCUAUUGGAGCUGCUGCCUUUUAGUUUAUUCUUUUGCACUGGCUACUUCUAAUUAAAUAUUUUUAUUAAAAAAUAAUUAUUUCUGAAUCUUUCUCCGGGAAUGAGAUCUGCAUUUCUGUACUCCUUACAGGAAAGAAAUCCAAUAUUGUUUGAAAGAAAGAGAAACUUUUAGCCUCUUGGGGAAAAUACCUAACUGUAAAGAGACAGAAGAAAAAGCCCAAAUUAGUUUCAUGAUGUCAGUAAAUGAUACCAUGAAUUGGGAAAUCCAUGAGUUUCGCUGAAACCAGUCACCGUUUCCACCUCCCCCUGCCUCUCAUCUGCUUCAAAACACUUUUGUUCAGGCUUGAGGUUAGAGGACUGCAGAGUUAACUGAAUAUUUUCACAUCUGGUUUGAAGAAGAGUUGCAACACUAAUUUCACUGAAGAAUUAACACCAUUAAUGGAGUUUAUUUGUGUCUCUCGGUAUAUGGCAAUAUAUUGUAGCAUUCUCCUUGAGCACAUGCGUGCCAGGACUGCCUGGCCUGGCACUGCCGGCUUACCUGCUCAUCAGAGAGGAAGGUUUGCUGCCUCCCUGAGAGAUAACAGGGCUAUUCUCAACCAUGGAAAAACUUUUUACUGUUUCAUUUUAUCAGCCUCUGGCUGGGAAGGUUUCACCAUCCGAGCCCUGGAUCUUCUACAGUUUCACUGACUUCAACUUUGCGGUUUCGUGCGCUGAAAGGCAAGCAGCUGUCGAUGAUACUGAGGAAAGUUAACACGAGAGACUACUACAUGUUUUUAACCAUUUAUCUGCAUCUGCAAAAAUGCUACAGAAUGCAGAGGAAUCAGUUUUGAAAGCUGAAAGUUUUCUCUCUGGAAAACAUUUUCCCUAGUGAGUUGUGCAAAUCGAAAGGGUCGAUGAUGAGGCUUCACUUGGAGAAUGCCCCAUGGUGUGGGUCACCGGCUGUGCCUGCCCGGCCUGCUAUGGCCCUGCCGUGGUCACUAUGGAGUGGAGUUUCACAUCCUCACAGGCAAAAACAAAUUCACAAAAUGUAGAAGCAGCCGGUUCCUUUUAGCAGCACUGCUCGGGCAUCAUGGGUGGGUGUCUGCACUGACAUCUCCUGCCAGUGCUGCCGAGGCAGAGCAGAACACCUAGGAGGAGUUUGGGGGGUGGGAAGGUGCUUAGAUGGGAACAGCACCACGAUGUGCAGAAACCAACAGUGAGCUCUGCACAAGAAGAAAUGUCUGUGGGGCAUCACCCAGCACUUGGAGCUGUUGUUGGCAGAAGCACCGGCAGCUGCCCCCAAGGGGACUUUGAUGGGGUGCCCUGUAGCAAGAUGGGUGCCUUGGGGCUGGUGAAAAGCACCAGCUCAUGGUGCUGGUCACCUCUGGGUUCCAACCACCUCAGAGGAAGGCAUCGGCACCUACCGAAACUUCUGGGCAGGUUUUCUUUUCUCCAGCAACCGCAGUUUACAAACUCGAGCCAGAGCUCACCUCCUCUCUGCCGCCUCUGCCGUCCCCCGGGGAGGACGACGGGCAGGGAGCCACCGCGCUCAGGAAGAGGCUUUGUUGCAGGGCUCAGCCAUUGAAUUCAGCCACUUUCAGGGAACCCCACACUUGUUUUAAAGGAUUAUUGUUCGCUCUGGAAAGCAGUUCUGAAAUGCUGAGGCUGCAGACCCUGAACACCAGUGUGCGCCGUCAGGAGCUGCUGACCUGCCCGUGUCCCCCAGCGAAGGCUGGACUUGGACCCUGCGUGGAGCUGCCCAGAUUUUGGGGUGGUGGUGGCACAGGCCAGCGUGCAGCGUGUGCCCGGCACAGCCUCUGCGGUUGGUAAUGCACAGUGGGUCACUGUGGCUUCCUGGGGUGCUGGGAAGGAGGAGGCUGUGCGGAAAGGAUAACAGCAUUAUUUUGUUGUUGUUGUUGUUUAAUUUACAUCCUCUUCCUUCUCCCCUUGCCUUGAAGCUCCUCAUUGUGCUGGGCUGCUCCUGGGGCACAGCAAGGGCUUCAGCUCGCUUGAGGCAGAUAUUUCACUUCCUUUGCUAAGCAGUGGUUCCUUUCCAAGUCCCAGGAACACCAGGAGCACAACUGAACCAUGGCAGUGAGUGCGGCAGCUGGACAUCGCUGCAUGGACAGGGAUGGGGACAGGGACACGAGGCUUUGAGCAGGAGGGCUGCUGUGCCAGGUCACCCUCCAAGAUGUCUGGCUGAGAUGAGGCAGCCUGAGGCAUAACCAGGCUUUUACGAGGCCUUAGAGAAGGUGUCUUGGCAGUUGUCAUUUACGCCGUGCAGAGUGUAGCUCCCGCACCUCUCUCCCUAGUUGGCAAUAACUGCUAGAAAGCAGCCUUGAAGCAACAACCCGCUUUCUAAUAAAGCUGGCAAGUUUUGCCAAGAUGAAAAAUGCAGGAGAACUGCAUGCAAACAGGAGCACAGCCUGCAAACCAGACCUUGCACUGCGAUGGCCUAGUCUGAUUCAGUGCUUCCCUGUGUCCUUUGGCAGGAUAGUGGCCGGUGGCUGCUGAGCCAAGCUGCAGCCUUUGCUCUGUGCUGGUGUCCUCCUGCUCUGUUGGUGGCAUGUUGGUGGCCAGCUGUACCCCUGCAAUGCCAGAGCAAAGCAGGUCACCUCUGAUGGUGGUGGCUGUUGCACAGGUAACACAAACAGUGCAAGCUGUGGAGGUAUUGGUGCGAAAAGCCAUACACUGUGUUUGUAAAGAAUGGGUUGACAAAUCCACAAUGUUCUCUCCAUGCCCAUGUGUGACUUUAAUAAAGUGAUCCGUGCGGUA